AUGUUCACUGUUAUAUUCAUGUGUCUGUGGCUUUCACUAGGUGACUCCAUGGCAGAUUCAAUACAGCCACUUUUCACAACUCCUAAAGUUGUAGAUGAAGGUGUUAACGUUACUCUGUCCUGCAGAUACGAAACUACCAGUACUGCAGCAAACACCUACCUGCACUGGUACAGACAAUAUCCAAAAUCUAAACCUGAGUUCCUACUUUACAUCACUGCAAAUGGCCGUAAAAGUGACCCUCUUCCAUCACGUCUGUCUGCUGAAGUUGAUGAUAAAAAUAAACGAGUGGAUCUGCUCAUCUCCUCUGCUGCUGUAUCAGACUCUGUACUAUACUACUGUGCUCUG
Molecule: non-coding RNA, 345 nt
Organism: Pangasianodon hypophthalmus (striped catfish)
Lineage: Eukaryota; Metazoa; Chordata; Actinopteri; Siluriformes; Pangasiidae
Source: the annotation of a RefSeq genome assembly